AAGGCGGAGCUUACCAUGCAGUCGACGGUAACAGGCCUUCGGGCGCUGACGAGUGGCGGACGGGUGAGUAACGCGUAGGAAUCUGCCUGUUAGUGGGGGACAACGUGGGGAAACUCACGCUAAUACCGCAUACGCCCUACGGGGGAAAGCGGGGGCUCUUCGGACCUCGCGCUAACAGAUGAGCCUGCGUGGGAUUAGCUAGUUGGUAGGGUAAAGGCCUACCAAGGCGACGAUCCCUAGCUGGUCUGAGAGGACGAUCAGCCACACUGGGACUGAGACACGGCCCAGACUCCUACGGGAGGCAGCAGUGGGGAAUAUUGGACAAUGGGCGCAAGCCUGAUCCAGCAAUACCGCGUGUGUGAAGAAGGCCUGAGGGUUGUAAAGCACUUUCAAUGGGGAGGAAAACCUGCCGGUCAAUACCCGGCAGCUUGACAUUACCUUUAGAAGAAGCACCGGCUAACUCCGUGCCAGCAGCCGCGGUAAUACGGAGGGUGCGAGCGUUAAUCGGAAUUACUGGGCGUAAAGCGUGCGUAGGCGGUUAACUAAGUCAGAUGUGAAAGCCCCGGGCUUAACCUGGGAACGGCAUUUGAUACUGGUUAACUAGAGUUGAGUAGAGGGGAGUGGAAUUUCAGGUGUAGCGGUGAAAUGCGUAGAUAUCUGAAGGAACACCAGUGGCGAAGGCGACUCCCUGGACUCAAACUGACGCUGAGGUACGAAAGCGUGGGUAGCAAACAGGAUUAGAUACCCUGGUAGUCCACGCCGUAAACGAUGUCAACUAGCCGUUGGUUCUAUUUACAGAAUUAGUGGCGCAGCUAACGCAUUAAGUUGACCGCCUGGGGAGUACGGCCGCAAGGUUAAAACUCAAAGGAAUUGACGG
RNAcentral lists this ribosomal RNA (877 nucleotides) under uncultured Gammaproteobacteria bacterium. Its description in RNAcentral is "bacterial SSU rRNA". It matches the Rfam family "Bacterial small subunit ribosomal RNA", at positions 38 to 916 of the family's 1533-position model. Lineage: Bacteria; Pseudomonadati; Pseudomonadota; Gammaproteobacteria. The record is from RNAcentral.